Molecule: ribosomal RNA, 433 nt
Filed under: uncultured bacterium
Lineage: Bacteria
Description: partial 16S ribosomal RNA
Rfam family: Bacterial small subunit ribosomal RNA
Source: RNAcentral
AACGAACGCUGGCGGCAUGCCUAACACAUGCAAGUCGAACGAGACCUUCGGGUCUAUUGGCGCACGGGUGCGUAACGCGUGGGAACCUGCCCUUAGGUUCGGAAUAACUCCCCGAAAGGGGUGCUAAUACCGGAUAAUGUCUUCGGACCAAAGAUUUAUCGCCUUUGGAUGGGCCCGCGUUGGAUUAGCUAGUUGGUAGGGUAAAAGCCUACCAAGGCGACGAUCCAUAGCUGGUCUGAGAGGAUGAUCAGCCACAAUGGGACUGAGACACGGCCCAGACUCGUACGGGAGGCAGCAGUGGGGAAUAUUGGACAAUGGGCGAAAGCCUGAUACAGCAAUGCCGCGUGAGUGAUGAAGGCCUUAGGGUUGUAAAGCUCUUUUACCCGGGAUGAUAAUGACAGUACCGGGAGAAUAAGCACCGGCUAACUACGUG